Molecule: ribosomal RNA, 442 nt
Filed under: uncultured bacterium
Lineage: Bacteria
Description: partial 16S ribosomal RNA
Rfam family: Bacterial small subunit ribosomal RNA
Source: RNAcentral
CCUACGGGAGGCAGCAGUGGGGGAUAUUGCUCAAUGGGGGAAACCCUGAUGCAGCGACGCCGCGUGGGCGAAGAAGUAUCUCGGUAUGUUAAGCCCUAUCAGCAGGGAAGAAGAAAUGACGGUACCUGAGUAAGAAGCACCGGCUAAAUACGUGCCAGCAGCCGCGGUAAUACGUAUGGUGCAAGCGUUAUCCGGAUUUACUGGGUGUAAAGGGAGCGCAGGCGGCACGGCAAGCCUGAUGUGAAAGCCCGCGGCCCAACCGAGGAACUGCAUUGGAAACUGCCGGGCUGGAGUGCCGGAGAGGUAGGCGGAAUGCCUAGUGUAGCGGUGAAAUGCGUAGAUAUUAGGAGGAACACCAGUGGCGAAGGCAGCCUACUGGACGGUGACUGACGCUGAGGCUCGAAAGCGUGGGGAGCAAACAGGAUUAGAUACCCGUGUAGUC